UUUGAUUUCCCAAGAGCACAAGCUCAGACAGAACAAACACCGGGGGAAGUGAAACAUCUCAGUACCCCGAGGAAGACUGAUCAACCGAGACUCCGGCAGUAGAUGUGAUCGACCCCGGACCAAACCUCUCUUUUUUUGGUGAAAAACCCCAAAGAAGGUCGACCUUCUUCUUUUCUUGAACCGUGGUGGAAUCCCGGGCCAAAGAAGGUGAAAGCCCUGUACAGGAAAGACUGGGUCGACAGAGAAAAGAAUGAGUACAUCGGAUCACACCGAUGGAAGACAGGGGGACCACCCUCUGAAGGUUGGAUACCUAGAAGAACCGAUAGCGCAGGAUGUACCGUGAGGGAAGGGUGAAAAGAACCGAUCCGGAAGACUUCUUCCGAAGAAUGAGGACUUGAAAAGAACCUGAAUCCUGGUGCACAUCAAACGGUCGGAGCCAGACAUGGUGACGGCGUACCUUUUGCAUAAUGGGUCAGCGAGUGUAGAUUCACCUGUACAAAAAAAAACCAAGGCUUGAGCCCAAAGGUGGAGGCAGGAGGAAACCCGAGUUUACAAAGGCUUCUUUCUUGGUUUUCAAAGAAAGGAUUUUCUCUUGAGCGUAUGCGAUAAGGGUUUUUUCUUUCUUUUCUGUGUAUAGGGGGUGUACGACCCGAAGCCAGGCGAGCUUUCCAUCUCCAGGUUGAAGUCGAAAGUCUUUCGAUGGAGGACCGAACCGGUGAAUGUGGCAAAAUUCUCGGAUGAGGGGUGGAAAGGAGUGAAAGGCUUACCAAGCCUGGUGAUAGCUGGUUCUCCGCGAAAUCUAUGUAGGUAGACUAGACCCAGACUCCUUUUCGGAGGUAGAGCACUUGUUGGAUGACGGGAGCCCAAACCUUUACGAAGUCCAAGAAAACUCCGAAGGCCGACAAAGGGUGGGUAUCUGUACAGACUCUGGGCGCGAAGGUCCAGGGUCGAGAGGGGAAGAGCCCAGACCGUCCGUUAAGGUCCCAAAGUGUGCCCUGAGUGCGCAAGGAAGUCAGAAAACAGAGACAUUCAGGAGAUGGGCUUGGAAGCAGCCGUUCUAUGAUGAUCGCGUACCAGCGCACUGAAUGAGUUUUUUGGCGCCGACCAUACUCGGGACUGAAGGGCACCACCGAAACGACGGAGAACGAUUCGUUCUGGUAGCGGAGCGUCCUGUGUUCCUUUGAAGGAAAAAGGAUACUUUUUCUGGAGGACUCGGGAGUGAGCAUGCUGACAUGAGUAACGAGGCUCGGGGAGCCAAUCCCCGUCGCCGUAUGCGCACGGGUUCCACAGCACUGUUGACCAUCUGUGGAAGACACGGAUCCUAAGAAGAUGAGAGAAGUCUCACUUUGAUGGAGGAUGUUUUUGAAGGACGGCUUUCUUUCUUUGAGGUUUUUUCUUUGGGAAGAAAGGUCUGAGAAAAGAAGGUCCAGGAAAAGUUCAAAAACCCUGUAUCCGUACCUAAACCGACACUGGUGCGCGGGUCGAACAGACUCAGGCGUCGAGAGACCCAUGGUUAAGGAACUCGGCAAAUUCACUCCGUACGUUCGCAAGAAGGAGGGCUCCAGUCUGACUGGAGUCGCAGAAAAAUGUGGCCGGGGACUGGUUAUUAAAACCACAGGUCUCUGCAAAGUCGAAAGACGACGUAUAGGGACUGACGUGUGCCCAAUGCCCGUCGUUGUACAGGACCGGUGUUUGCCGGAAAUCGAAAACCGGGCCAAUGGCUGCUGUAUCACUGACAGUACUAAGGUAGCGAAAUUCCUUGUCGCAUAAGUAGCGACCCGCAUGAAUCACGUCACCACCGGCCAGCUGUCUCAACCAUGGACUCGGUGAAAUUGAAGUCCCCGUGAAGAUGCGGGGUACUCACGGUAAGGCGAGAAGACCCCGUGGACCUUUACUCAAGCCCUGCAUUGAGUGUCGGGACCUGUGUGCGCAGACUAGGUAGGAGCGGUAUCCAUAGGUUGCGGCCUAGAGGACACGCAUCAGUGAGAGACUACCCACACACACCGGCGCUCUCACCCUGUGGACAGUGCAUGGUGGAGAGUUUGACUGGGGCGGUCGCCUCCUAAAGAGUAACGGAGGUGUAUGCAAGGUAGGCUCACCCCGGACGGCAACCGGGCGAGUGGGGAGAAUGCCCUAUGCCUGCUUGACUGUAAGAUGGGCACAUCGAGCAGAGACGAAAGUCGAUCAUACUGAACCGGAGUUUCCUUGUGGAAGGGGCUUCGCUCAACGGAUCAAAGGUACCCCGGGGAUAACAGGCUUAUACUUCCCGAGAGCUCGAAUCGACGGAAGUGUUUGGCACCUCGAUGUCGUCUCCCUGUGUCCUCGUGCUGCAGAAGGUGCGAAGGGUUCGGCUGUUCGCCGAUUAAUACAGGACGCGGAUGGGUUUAGAACGUCGUAAGACAGUUUGGUUUCUACCUACCGUGAGGGUACACCCUGGACUCAGACUGAGUCCAGACGUAUAUGUGAGAAGCUUUCACUCUAGUACGAGAGGACCGAGUGGAACGGACCUCUGGGGUGUCUGUUGUAGUCCCACUGCAAGGCAGAGAAUCUACGUCCGGAAAGGAGAAGGGCUGAGUGCGUCUGAAGCCCGAAACCAGCUUUGACACGACAUAUCAGCGCUGGCGGAAGACCACCGCAGAAUAGGCAAACCGUGUGUCUCGGGUACACCGAAAAGCGAGUUUGUACUAAGA
RNAcentral lists this ribosomal RNA (2690 nucleotides) under Prasinoderma coloniale. RNAcentral's name for it is "partial Bacterial large subunit ribosomal RNA". It matches the Rfam family "Bacterial large subunit ribosomal RNA". The record is from RNAcentral. Lineage: Eukaryota; Viridiplantae; Prasinodermophyta; Prasinodermophyceae; Prasinodermales; Prasinodermaceae.